GGGGAAUUUUGGACAAUGGGCGCAAGCCUGAUCCAGCAAUGCCGCGUGCAGGAUGAAGUCCUUCGGGUUGUAAACUGCUUUUGUACGUAACGAAAAGCCUCUCUCUAACACAGGGGGGUGAUGACGGUACCGCAAGAAUAAGCACCGGCUCACUACGUGCCAGCAGCCGCGGUAAUACGUAGGGUGCAAGCGUUAAUCGGAAUUACUGGGCGUAAAGCGUGCGCAGGCGGUUUUGUCAGCAGUGGUGAAAUCCCCGGGCUCAACCUGGGAACUGCCAUUGUGACUGCAAGGCUGGAGGGCGGCAGAGGGGGAUGGAAUUCCGCGUGUAGCAGUGAAAUGCGUAGAUAUGCAGAGGAACACCGAUGGCGAAGGCAAUCCCCUGGGCCUGCACUGACGCUCAUGCACGAAAGCGUGGGGAGCAAACA
RNAcentral lists this ribosomal RNA (425 nucleotides) under uncultured Comamonas sp. RNAcentral describes it as "bacterial SSU rRNA". It matches the Rfam family "Bacterial small subunit ribosomal RNA", at positions 356 to 774 of the family's 1533-position model. The record is from RNAcentral. Lineage: Bacteria; Pseudomonadati; Pseudomonadota; Betaproteobacteria; Burkholderiales; Comamonadaceae.